RNAcentral lists this transfer RNA (69 nucleotides) under human gut metagenome. It matches the Rfam family "tRNA". Rfam says of the family: Transfer RNA (tRNA) molecules are approximately 80 nucleotides in length. Their secondary structure includes four short double-helical elements and three loops (D, anti-codon, and T loops). Further hydrogen bonds mediate the characteristic L-shaped molecular structure. tRNAs have two regions of fundamental functional importance: the anti-codon, which is responsible for specific mRNA codon recognition, and the 3' end, to which the tRNAs corresponding amino acid is attached (by aminoacyl-tRNA synthetases). tRNAs cope with the degeneracy of the genetic code in two manners: having more than one tRNA (with a specific anti-codon) for a particular amino acid; and 'wobble' base-pairing, i.e. permitting non-standard base-pairing at the 3rd anti-codon position. The record is from RNAcentral.
CGGCAUAGCACAGUUGGUAGUGCGACUGACCUGUAAUCAGUAGGUCGGGGGUUCAAGUCCCUCUGUCGG